AUGGCUUCCUCCGGCUCUCUCCACCCCACCCUCCUCGUGCUGCUCCUGCUCACAGUCGCCGCCACCGCGUCGACGACCACGACGUUCGUCCGGGCGGGAGCUCCUCCUGCCGACCUCGCCGAGCGGCUGCAGGGAGUGGGGCAGCAGCAGUGCUGGGAGAUUCUGAUGGACAUCAGGUCGUGCACGGGGGAGAUCAUCCUCUUCUUCCUCAACGGCGAGGCGUACCUGGGGCCCGGGUGCUGCCGCGCCAUCCGCGCCAUCGAGCAGCGCUGCUGGGCCGCCGACGCCAUGCUGUCCGUCAUCGGGUUCACCGCGGAGGAGGGGGACAUGCUCAAGGGCUACUGCGACGCGGGCGACGACGGCAACGCCGGCAAGGGACAGCGCCAUGGCAUCCGAGGGACCCUGGCCGCUGCGGCGGUUGUCGCGGGAAGGAAAGGGCUUGGUGCCCCAUGA
Molecule: ribosomal RNA, 453 nt
Filed under: Triticum aestivum (bread wheat)
Lineage: Eukaryota; Viridiplantae; Streptophyta; Magnoliopsida; Poales; Poaceae
Description: partial small subunit ribosomal RNA
Source: RNAcentral